GGAGGGGUGGCAGAGCCUGGUUUAUUGCGGCGGUCCCGAAAACCGCUGGGCGCUUCGGCGUCCCGUGAGUUCAAAUCUCACCCCCUCCG
RNAcentral lists this transfer RNA (89 nucleotides) under Allobosea sp. RAC05. Its description in RNAcentral is "Bosea sp. RAC05 tRNA". It matches the Rfam family "tRNA". Rfam says of the family: Transfer RNA (tRNA) molecules are approximately 80 nucleotides in length. Their secondary structure includes four short double-helical elements and three loops (D, anti-codon, and T loops). Further hydrogen bonds mediate the characteristic L-shaped molecular structure. tRNAs have two regions of fundamental functional importance: the anti-codon, which is responsible for specific mRNA codon recognition, and the 3' end, to which the tRNAs corresponding amino acid is attached (by aminoacyl-tRNA synthetases). tRNAs cope with the degeneracy of the genetic code in two manners: having more than one tRNA (with a specific anti-codon) for a particular amino acid; and 'wobble' base-pairing, i.e. permitting non-standard base-pairing at the 3rd anti-codon position. Lineage: Bacteria; Pseudomonadati; Pseudomonadota; Alphaproteobacteria; Hyphomicrobiales; Alloboseaceae. The record is from Rfam by way of RNAcentral.